Molecule: ribosomal RNA, 490 nt
Filed under: uncultured bacterium
Lineage: Bacteria
Description: partial 16S ribosomal RNA
Rfam family: Bacterial small subunit ribosomal RNA
Source: RNAcentral
AUUGAACGCUGGCGGCAGGCCUAACACAUGCAAGUCGAACGGUAACAGGAAGAAGCUUGCUUCUUUGCUGACGAGUGGCGGACGGGUGAGUAAUGUCUGGGAAACUGCCUGAUGGAGGGGGAUAACUACUGGAAACGGUAGCUAAUACCGCAUAACGUCGCAAGACCAAAAAGGGGGACCUUCGGGCCUCUUGCCAUCGGAUGUGCCCAGAUGGGAUUAGCUAGUAGGUGGGGUAACGGCUCACCUAGGCGACGAUCCCUAGCUGGUCUGAGAGGAUGACCAGCCACACUGGAACUGAGACACGGUCCAGACUCCUACGGGAGGCAGCAGUGGGGAAUAUUGCACAAAGGGCGCAAGCCAGAUGCAGCCAUGCCGCGUGUAUGAAGAAGGCCUUCGGGUUGUAAAGUACUUUCAGCGGGGAGGAAGGGAGUAAAGUUAAUACCUUUGCUCAUUGACGUUACCCGCAGAAGAAGCACCGGCUAACUCCGUG